GCUGAGAUAGUACAGCUGCCGGACCCUGUGUACUUCCCAGCUGGAAUGUAUAUCAAUUAUGAAUGCCUACCAGGUUUUGAUUUUGACCCAUUCCAAGCUCGCUCUGUUAAAUGCCAAGAGGAUUUCAUAUGGUCAGAAAUAACGGAAUUUUGUACAAGUAAGUAAAAUUAAAAUGUAAUUUACAUUGUUCUAUUCACGCAGAAAAAUACAUGUUAUUUACAAUAAUUUGGAUAUAUUUCAGUUUAUCAGUAUUCGUUUAAAAUCACCACAUGUCUACUGGAUUUGCAAUUGUCAUAAUUACUUAAAAGGAAACUAUAGUGCCAGGAAAACAAAGUUAAAAACCCCUUCUGUCACUUACCUGAGUCCAGGUCUGAUGUACUUCGUUGCUGCUUUGGCCUCCGCCUUCACUGCUUCCCCUGCUGACAUCAGCUUGCAAGGGAGACCCUAUGCGCAUGUGUGACAAUGGCCUCUCUCGCAUUAGGAUUUCCCCCAUAAGAAAGAAUGCAUAAUGCUUUCCUAUGGGGUUUACAUAAUGCUGGGUGUCCUCAUGCAUAGCGUGAGGAUGCCCAGCAUCAGUUAGAUGACCAAAAGUUGCCUAACAACCCAGAAGUCUCUCUAGUGAUUGGCUGGUAGACAGUCACUAGAGGUGGAGUAAACCCUCAAAGAUAAUCAUUGCAGUUUAUUAAAAAGGGCAAUAAUUACCUUUGCAGGGUUAAGUGACCAUGGACUACGCACCUAGACCACUUCAAUAAGAUGAAACAUAGAAACAUAGAAUGUGACGGCAGAUAAGAACCAUUCGGCCCAUCUAGUCUGCCCAAUUUUCUAAAUACUUUCAUUAGUCCCUGGCCUUAUCUUAUAGUUAGGAUAGCCUUAUGCCUAUCCCACGCAUGCUUAAACUCCUUUACUGUGUUAACCUCUACCACUUCAGCUGGAAGGCUAUUCCAUGCAUCCACUACCCUCUCAGUAAAGUAAUACUUCCUGAUAUUAUUUUUAAACCUUUGUCCCUCUAAUUUAAGACUAUGUCCUCUUGUUGUGGUAGUUUUUCUCUCUUUUAAAUAUAGUCUCCUCCUUUAUUGUGUUGAUUCCCUUUAUGCAUUUAAAUGUUUCUAUCAUAUCCCCCCUGUCUCGUCUUUCCUCCAAGCUAUACAUGUUAAGAUCCUUUAACCUUUCCUGGUAAGUUUUAUCCUGCAAUCCAUGAACCAGUUUAGUAGCUCUUCUCUGAACCCUGAAGUGGUCUGGAUGCCUGUAAUGUCUCUUUAAGGCAAUUCCUUCUGAAAUUUAAUUUCACAUGAAUUAGCAUAUCUUGGUCUAUACAAUCUGCUGUCUGUUUUAAACACAGUAAUUCUGAUAUGUGCAUCUUACACAAAAUAAUAUUGCAAAGUCUUGUUUGAAAGCAGAUCUUGCCUGGAACCAACCAAAUCAACAAAAAAGAUGUAUCUGCUUUAUGCAAUUGAAUCUAUUUAUGCUUGUAGCCAGUGGGCAAAUGGUUAAAAAACCCAACUCAAUAGUGCAUGCGUUAAUUAAAUCAACUAAAUAUAUCCCAUAUUUAUUAUAAUUAUUAUAUAUUGCAGUUGUGUCAUGUGAAAUGCCAGAAAAUAUCACAAAUGGAAUUGUAGAAGUAAC
Non-coding RNA from Pelobates cultripes (western spadefoot toad), 1623 nucleotides. Lineage: Eukaryota; Metazoa; Chordata; Amphibia; Anura; Pelobatidae. The record is from the annotation of a GenBank genome assembly.